This 266-nucleotide long non-coding RNA is filed under the name Volvox carteri. RNAcentral describes it as "long non-coding RNA (VCAR_LNC003957)". The record is from RNAcentral. Lineage: Eukaryota; Viridiplantae; Chlorophyta; Chlorophyceae; Chlamydomonadales; Volvocaceae.
ACGAUGCAUCAUAACAUUAACUAGUUGUUAGAAAGGCGGCAGGAAUAGGAGCAUCCAUACGCGCACGCAAUUAGAACCCCGCCGUGAGAUGCGUCGGUGGCUGUGAGGCAGGUGGGACAUGCCUGGGAGGCUGAAAGGGCUUCCGGACGCAUAAAUCGCACCAGGCGCCGUCGUACGCCGGACCACCGAUGCAUCAUAACAUAACUAGUUGUUAAAAAGGCGGCAGGAAUAGGAGCAUCCAUACGGUCACGCAAUUAGAACCCCGC